RNAcentral lists this ribosomal RNA (571 nucleotides) under uncultured bacterium. RNAcentral describes it as "bacterial SSU rRNA". It matches the Rfam family "Bacterial small subunit ribosomal RNA", at positions 94 to 699 of the family's 1533-position model. The record is from RNAcentral.
AGUGGCAGACGGGUGAGUAACAUGUGGGUAUCUACCCUUUGGCCUGGAAUAACACGAGGAGACUUGUGCUAAUACCGGAUAAGUCUUUACGGAGAAAGCUUUAUGCACCAUUGGAUGAGCCCGCACUUGAUUAGUUUGUUGGUAGGGUAAUGGCCUACCAAGACUAUGAUCAAUAGCUGAUUUGAGAGGAUGAUCAGCCACAUUGGGACUGAGACACGGCCCAAACUCCUACGGGAGGCAGCAGUGGGGAAUCUUGCACAAUGGAGGAAACUCUGAUGCAGCGAUGCCGCGUGAGUGAAGAAGGCCUUUGGGUUGUAAAGCUCUUUCGUCGGGGAAGAAAAUGACUGUACCCGAAUAAGAAGGUCCGGCUAACUUCGUGCCAGCAGCCGCGGUAAUACGAAGGGACCUAGCGUAGUUCGGAAUUACUGGGCUUAAAGAGUUCGUAGGUGGUUGAAAAAGUUGGUGGUGAAAUCCCAGAGCUUAACUCUGGAACUGCCAUCAAAACUUUUCAGCUAGAGUAUGAUAGAGGAAAGCAGAAUUUCUAGUGUAGAGGUGAAAUUCGUAGAUAUUA